AGAUAAUAGAUACCCUGGUAGUCCUAGCUGUAAACGGUGCGUAUUUGAGGUGGGAGGAUUCGACCCCUUCCGUCUCGUAGCUAAACGCGUUAAAUACGCCGCCUGGGGAGUACGGUCGCAAGAUUAAAACUCAAAGAAAUUGACGGGGGCCCGCACAAGCGGUGGAGCAUGUGGCUUAAUUCGAUGCAACGCGAAGAACCUUACCUGGCCUUGACAUGUACGUAGUGGAAGGAUGAAAGUCUGACGAGGUAGCAAUACCAGCGUACACAGGUGCUGCAUGGCUGUCGUCAGCUCGUGCCGUGAGGUGUUCGGUUAAGUCCGGUAACGAGCGCAACCCCUGUGAUCUGUUGCCACCCCAAUUUAUUGGGAGCACUCUGAUCAGACUGCCCUGCAUAACGGGGAGGAAGGUGGGGAUGACGUCAAGUCAGUAUGGUCCUUACGGCCAGGGCUGCACACGUGCUACAAUGCCCAGUACAGAGGGAAGCCAACUCGCGAGAGGGAGCCAAUCCCAGAAAACUGGGCUCAGUU
RNAcentral lists this ribosomal RNA (528 nucleotides) under uncultured bacterium. Its description in RNAcentral is "bacterial SSU rRNA". It matches the Rfam family "Bacterial small subunit ribosomal RNA", at positions 774 to 1293 of the family's 1533-position model. The record is from RNAcentral.